CCUACGGGUGACAGCAGUGAGGAAUAUUGGUCAAUGGGCGCGAGCCUGAACCAGCCAAGUAGCGUGAAGGAUGACUGCCCUACGGGUUGUAAACUUCUUUUAUAAGGGAAUAAAGUGUUCCACGUGUGGCUUUUUGUAUGUACUUUAUGAAUAAGGAUCGGCUAACUCCGUGCCAGCAGCCGCGGUAAUACGGAGGAUCCGAGCGUUAUCCGGAUUUAUUGGGUUUAAAGGGAGCGUAGGUGGGUUGUUAAGUCAGUUGUGAAAGUUUGCGGCUCAACCGUAAAAUUGCAAUUGAAACUGGCAGUCUUGAGUACAGUAGAGGUGGGCGGAAUUCGUGGUGUAGCGGUGAAAUGCUUAGAUAUCACGAAGAACUACGAUUGCGAAGGCAGCCUACUAAACUGCAACUGACAGUGAGGCUCGAAAGUGUGGGUAUCAAACAGGAUUAGAUACCCUGGUAGUC
This 460-nucleotide ribosomal RNA is filed under the name uncultured bacterium. RNAcentral's name for it is "partial 16S ribosomal RNA". It matches the Rfam family "Bacterial small subunit ribosomal RNA", at positions 338 to 795 of the family's 1533-position model. The record is from RNAcentral.